UACGGGGGGGGCAAGCGUUGUUCGGAAUUACUGGGCGUAAAGGGCGCGUAGGCGGUGCUCUAAGUUAGAUGUGAAAACUCUGGGCUCAACCCAGAGCCUGCAUCUAAAACUGGAGUGCUAGAGUUCUGGAGGGGGUAGCGGAAUUCCUGGUGUAGCGGUGAAAUGCGUAGAUAUCAGGAGGAACACCGGUGGCGAAGGCGGUUCUCUGGGCAUUACCUGACGCUGAGGAGCGAAAGUGUGGGGAGCGAACAGG
Molecule: ribosomal RNA, 253 nt
Filed under: uncultured bacterium
Lineage: Bacteria
Description: partial 16S ribosomal RNA
Rfam family: Bacterial small subunit ribosomal RNA
Source: RNAcentral